Molecule: long non-coding RNA, 184 nt
Organism: Gordionus sp. m RMFG-2023
Lineage: Eukaryota; Metazoa; Nematomorpha; Gordioida; Chordodea; Parachordodidae
Exons: 3
Source: RefSeq, a predicted model, not a curated record
CUUAUUCCCAAACCUCCUAUAGAACUAAACCUUAAUGAUUCUGAAUCUAUCUCCUAUGUUCUAUCACCUCGUUCAUAUUAUAAUUGUCAUAAGAGAAAGAAAAAUGAUUUAGAUGACUUUAAGAAACUAAUAAAAUUAGAAGAAGAAAAAACAUUAAUAACCAUGGAAAUGCUUAAAAAUAAAC